RNAcentral lists this ribosomal RNA (301 nucleotides) under uncultured bacterium. RNAcentral's name for it is "partial 16S ribosomal RNA". It matches the Rfam family "Bacterial small subunit ribosomal RNA", at positions 509 to 807 of the family's 1533-position model. The record is from RNAcentral.
CAGUCGCCGCGGUAAAACGUAGGGUGCAAGCGUUAAUCGGAAUUACGGGGCGUAAAGCGUGCGUAGGCGGCUUCUUAAGUCGGAUGUGAAAUCCCUGAGCUUAACUUAGGAAUUGCAUUCGAUACUGGGAAGCUAGAGUAUGGGAGAGGAUGGUAGAAUUCCAGGUGUAGCGGUGAAAUGCGUAGAGAUCUGGAGGAAUACCGAUGGCGAAGGCAGCCAUCUGGCCUAAUACUGACGCUGAGGUACGAAAGCAUGGGGAGCAAACAGGAUUAGAUACCCCGGUAGUCCCUGUCUCUUAUAC